RNAcentral lists this ribosomal RNA (550 nucleotides) under uncultured bacterium. Its description in RNAcentral is "bacterial SSU rRNA". It matches the Rfam family "Bacterial small subunit ribosomal RNA", at positions 355 to 896 of the family's 1533-position model. The record is from RNAcentral.
UGGGGAAUCUUGGACAACGGGGGCAACCCUGAUCCAGCAAUGCCGCGUGGGUGAAGAAGGCCUUCGGGUUGUAAAGCCCUUUCGGCAGGGAAGAAAUCGGCGGGGCGAAUAACCCUGCUGGAUGACGGUACCUGCAGAAGAAGCACCGGCUAACUACGUGCCAGCAGCCGCGGUAAUACGUAGGGUGCGAGCGUUAAUCGGAUUUACUGGGCGUAAAGCGUGCGCAGGCGGCCCGUUAAGACAGGUGUGAAAUCCCUGGGCUCAACCUAGGAAUUGCGCUUGUGACUGGCGGGCUCGAGUACGGUAGAGGGGGGUGGAAUUCCUGGUGUAGCAGUGAAAUGCGUAGAGAUCAGGAGGAACACCGAUGGCGAAGGCAGCCCCCUGGGCCUGUACUGACGCUCAUGCACGAAAGCGUGGGGAGCAAACAGGAUUAGAUACCCUGGUAGUCCACGCCCUAAACGAUGGGUACUAGCCGUUUGGUGCGCGAUAGCGCUGAGUGGCGAAGCUAACGCGUGAAGUACCCUGCCUGGGGAGUACGGCCGCAAGGUUG